This 736-nucleotide ribosomal RNA is filed under the name uncultured bacterium. Its description in RNAcentral is "bacterial SSU rRNA". It matches the Rfam family "Bacterial small subunit ribosomal RNA", at positions 8 to 793 of the family's 1533-position model. The record is from RNAcentral.
AGAGUUUGAUCCUGGCUCAGAACGAACGCUGGCGGCAGGCCUAACACAUGCAAGUCGAGCGCACCUUCGGGUGAGCGGCGGACGGGUGAGUAACGCGUGGGAAUAUGCCCAGAUCUGCGGAAUAGCCUCUGGAAACGGAGAGUAAUACCGCAUACGCCCUUCGGGGGAAAGAUUUAUCGGAUUUGGAUUAGCCCGCGUUGGAUUAGGUAGUUGGUGGGGUAAUGGCCUACCAAGCCGACGAUCCAUAGCUGGUUUGAGAGGAUGAUCAGCCACACUGGGACUGAGACACGGCCCAGACUCCUACGGGAGGCAGCAGUGGGGAAUCUUAGACAAUGGGGGAAACCCUGAUCUAGCCAUGCCGCGUGAGUGACGAAGGCCCUAGGGUCGUAAAGCUCUUUCGCCAGGGAAGAUAAUGACGGUACCUGGUAAAGAAACCCCGGCUAACUCCGUGCCAGCAGCCGCGGUAAUACGGAGGGGGUUAGCGUUGUUCGGAAUUACUGGGCGUAAAGCGCGCGUAGGCGGACUUUUAAGUUAGAGGUGAAAUCCCGGGCUCAACCCCGGAACUGCCUUUAAUACUGGAAGUCUUGAGUUCGAGAGAGGUGAGUGGAAUUCCGAGUGUAGAGGUGAAAUUCGUAGAUAUUCGGAGGAACACCAGUGGCGAAGGCGGCUCACUGGCUCGAUACUGACGCUGAGGUGCGAAAGUGUGGGGAGCAAACAGGAUUAGAUACCCUGGUAG